UAGCUCAGCGGUUAGAGCUGCCGACUCAUAAUCGGUAGGUCGCUGGUUCGAAUCCAG
This 57-nucleotide transfer RNA is filed under the name Piscirickettsiaceae bacterium. Its description in RNAcentral is "tRNA-Met". It matches the Rfam family "tRNA", at positions 8 to 62 of the family's 71-position model. Rfam says of the family: Transfer RNA (tRNA) molecules are approximately 80 nucleotides in length. Their secondary structure includes four short double-helical elements and three loops (D, anti-codon, and T loops). The record is from RNAcentral. Lineage: Bacteria; Pseudomonadati; Pseudomonadota; Gammaproteobacteria; Thiotrichales; Piscirickettsiaceae.